Molecule: small RNA, 29 nt
Filed under: Bombyx mori (domestic silkworm)
Lineage: Eukaryota; Metazoa; Arthropoda; Insecta; Lepidoptera; Bombycidae
Description: piRNA piR-bmo-1624470
Source: RNAcentral
UAACCUGCAAAAGCGGGAUUGUAGAGAUU